RNAcentral lists this ribosomal RNA (356 nucleotides) under uncultured bacterium. RNAcentral's name for it is "bacterial SSU rRNA". It matches the Rfam family "Bacterial small subunit ribosomal RNA", at positions 29 to 414 of the family's 1533-position model. The record is from RNAcentral.
AACGAACGCUGGCGGCAGGCCUAACACAUGCAAGUCGAACGCCCCGCAAGGGGAGUGGCAGACGGGUGAGUAACGCGUGGGAACCUACCCUACGGUCGGGAAUAGCCCAGGGAAACUUGGGGUAAUACCGGAUACGCCCUAACGGGGAAAGAUUUAUCGCCGUUGGAUGGGCCCGCGUCGGAUUAGCUAGUUGGUGAGGUAACGGCUCACCAAGGCGACGAUCCGUAGCUGGUCUGAGAGGAUGAUCAGCCACACUGGGACUGAGACACGGCCCAGACUCCUACGGGAGGCAGCAGUGGGGAAUAUUGGACAAUGGGCGAAAGCCUGAUGCAGCGACGCCGCGUGAGGGAUGACGG